CACGUAGGGCGCAAGCGUUGUCCGGAAUUAUUGGGCGUAAAGAGCUCGUAGGCGGCUCGUUGCGUCGGCUGUGAAAACCCGCAGCUCAACUGUGGGCUUGCAGCUGAUACGGGCGGGCUGGAGUUCGGUAGGGGAGACUGGAAUUCCUGGUGUAGCGGUGAAAUGCGCAGAUAUCAGGAGGAACACCGGUGGCGAAGGCGGGUCUCUGGGCCGAUACUGACGCUGAGGAGCGAAAGCGUGGGGAGCGAACAGG
This 253-nucleotide ribosomal RNA is filed under the name uncultured bacterium. RNAcentral's name for it is "partial 16S ribosomal RNA". It matches the Rfam family "Bacterial small subunit ribosomal RNA", at positions 524 to 776 of the family's 1533-position model. The record is from RNAcentral.